Molecule: ribosomal RNA, 277 nt
Filed under: Megamonas funiformis YIT 11815
Lineage: Bacteria; Bacillati; Bacillota; Negativicutes; Selenomonadales; Selenomonadaceae
Description: partial 16S ribosomal RNA
Rfam family: Bacterial small subunit ribosomal RNA
Source: RNAcentral
UAUGGUAAUCCAGCAGCCGCGGUAAUACGUAGGCGGCAAGCGUUGUCCGGAAUUAUUGGGCGUAAAGGGAGCGCAGGCGGGAAACUAAGCGGAUCUUAAAAGUGCGGGGCUCAACCCCGUGAUGGGGUCCGAACUGGUUUUCUUGAGUGCAGGAGAGGAAAGCGGAAUUCCCAGUGUAGCGGUGAAAUGCGUAGAUAUUGGGAAGAACACCAGUGGCGAAGGCGGCUUUCUGGACUGUAACUGACGCUGAGGCUCGAAAGCUAGGGUAGCGAACGGG